This 426-nucleotide ribosomal RNA is filed under the name uncultured bacterium. RNAcentral's name for it is "bacterial SSU rRNA". It matches the Rfam family "Bacterial small subunit ribosomal RNA", at positions 359 to 776 of the family's 1533-position model. The record is from RNAcentral.
GAAUUGUUCGCAAUGGGCGCAAGCCUGACGACGCAACGCCGCGUGGAGGAUGAAGAUCUUCGGGUCGUAAACUCCUGUCGAGUGGGAAGAAUAGUUUCCGGGCGAAUAUCCCGGAAGCCUGACGGUACCACUAAAGGAAGCCCCGGCUAACUCCGUGCCAGCAACCCGGGUAAUACGGGGGGGGCAAGUGUUGUUCGGAAUUACUGGGCGUAAAGGGCUCGUAGGCGGCCAACUAAGUCGGAUGUGAAAUCCCCAGGCUCAACCUGGGAACUGCAUCCGAUACUGGAUGGCUUGAAUUCGGGAGAGGGAUGCAGAAUUCCAGGUGUAGCGGUGAAAUGCGUAGAUAUCUGGAGGAAUACCGGUGGCGAAGGCGGCAUCCUGGACCGACAUUGACGCUGAGGAGCGAAAGCUAGGGGAGCAAACGGG